GAUGAACGCUAGCGGCAGGGCUUAAUACAUGCAAGUCGAACGGUAACAGGUCCAGCAAUGGAUGCUGACGAGUGGCGUACGGGUGCGUAACACGUGUGCAACUUACCUUUAACAGGAGAAUAGCUCCGAGAAAUUGGAAUUAAUACUCCAUAACAUUAUGAAACGGCAUCGUUUUAUAAUUAAAGCUCCGGUGGUUAAAGAUGGGCACGCGAAACAUUAGCUGGUUGGAGAGGUAACGGCUCACCAAGGCUACGAUGUUUAGGGGUUCUGAGAGGAUUAACCCCCACACUGGUACUGAGACACGGACCAGACUCCUACGGGAGGCAGCAGUAAGGAAUAUUGGUCAAUGGACGCAAGUCUGAACCAGCCAUGCCGCGUGAAGGAUGACAGCCCUAUGGGUCUGUAAACUUAGCUUUUAUACAGGAAAAACCUUCCGACGUGUCGGGAGCUGAUGGUACUGUAAGAAUAAGGAUCGGCUAACUCCGUGCCAGCAGCCGCGGUAAUACGGAGGAUCCAAGCGUUAUCCGGAUUUAUUGGGUUUAAAGGGUGCGUAGGCGGAUUGGUAAGUCAGUGGUGAAAUCCUACAGCUUACUGUAGAACUGCCAUUGAUACUAUCA
RNAcentral lists this ribosomal RNA (617 nucleotides) under uncultured Bacteroidota bacterium. RNAcentral describes it as "bacterial SSU rRNA". It matches the Rfam family "Bacterial small subunit ribosomal RNA", at positions 28 to 638 of the family's 1533-position model. Lineage: Bacteria; Pseudomonadati; Bacteroidota. The record is from RNAcentral.